Molecule: ribosomal RNA, 834 nt
Filed under: Mycoplasma mycoides
Lineage: Bacteria; Bacillati; Mycoplasmatota; Mollicutes; Mycoplasmatales; Mycoplasmataceae
Description: partial 23S ribosomal RNA
Rfam family: Bacterial large subunit ribosomal RNA
Source: RNAcentral
CUAAGGCGAGGCUGAAAAGCGUAGUCGAUGGACAACAGGUUGAUAUUCCUGUACCAGUUAAUUAGUGAUGGAGUGACGAAGAAGGAUAGUAUAUCCCGGGUGCUGGAUGUCCCGGGCUAAGCACAAAGAUGGCAAUGUUGGCAAAUCCGCAUUGUAUUAACAUUGAAGUGUGAAAAUAGGGGAGUGAACGGUUCGCCUAGUAACGAAGUAUAUGACUCCAUGCUUCCAAGAAAAGCUUCUAACUUAAUAAUUAACUGCCUGUACCUAGAACGAACACACGUGGUCAAGGAGAAAAUCCUAAGGCAAGCGAGAUAACUGUAGCUAAGGAACUCUGCAAAAUAACUCCGUAACUUCGGAAGAAGGAGUGCUUAUCUAUGAUAAGCCGCAGUGAAGAGGGAGGGGCAACUGUUUAACAAAAACACAGCUCUCUGCUAAGUCGCAAGACGAUGUAUAGGGGGUGACACCUGCCCAGUGCCGGAAGGUUAAAAGGAGAAGUCAGCGCAAGCGAAGCUUUGAAUUGAAGCCCCGGUGAACGGCGGCCGUAACUAUAACGGUCCUAAGGUAGCGAAAUUCCUUGUCAGGUAAAUUCUGACCCGCACGAAAGGUGUAAUGAUCCCUUCGCUGUCUCGGCUGCAGACUCGGUGAAAUUUUAGUACCGGUGAAGAUGCCGGUUACCCGCAACUAGACGGAAAGACCCCGUGGAGCUUUACUAUAACUUGAUAUUGAAAUUUGGUAUGACGUGUAGAGGAUAGGUGGGAGACUAUGAGACUAGGACGCUAGUUCUAGUGGAGUCAACCUUGGAAUACCACCCUCGUUAUAUUGGAUUUCUAACUU